CUCUCUUUUUUUUCUUACGUACCACAAAUCAGCCUGGAACCCGAGACUCUACGGUCUACCACUCUCUCGCACUACACUUGACGCACGAUCUUUUCCCUAUCGCAAGACAUCUUUCUCGUUGCAGGGCUUGUAGUCGAAUCAAUCGCAAUCGUAGUUGCAGUGAAAAUGGUUAGUGAUAGUGAUUUAAAGACAUGGGUGUCUGACAAGUUGUUUUCAUUGUUGGGAUAUUCUCAGUCCGCAGUGGUUCAGUACAUUGUUGGAAUAACUAAGCAAGCAACAACACCUGCUGAUGUGCUGGGCAAACUCCUUGAAUGUGGGCUUCCAUCAACAAGAGAAACUCGUGCCUUUUCUGAGGAACUUUUUGCCAGAGUUCCCCGAAAAACGUCUGCUGUCAAUCUUUAUAAGGAACAAGAAAAGGAAGCUGCUAUGUUAGCUAGGAAGCAGAAGACUUAUGCACUGCUAGACGCGGACGAUGAUGAUGAUGAUGACGACGACACUGUUCAUGUUGGUCUUGGUCAGAAAUCAUCUGGUACGGUUGCUUCUCAGCCCAUUAAAGAAGACACACAAAAGAAACGUUUCAGGAAGAAAAUCGAAACUCAAGACGACGAAGAUGACGAGGUGAUUGCACAAGCCAAAGUAGAGAGACGAGUUAAGAGACGGACUUACGAAGAUGAUGGUUCAGAGUCAGAAGAGGAGAGGUUGCAAGACCAAAGAGAGAGGGAGCAACUAGAGAGAAAUAUAAGAGAACGCGAUGCUGCAGCAACAAGGAAGUUGACUGAGUCAAAAUUAUCUCGGAAAGAGGAAGAUGAGGCAAUACGAAGAUCGGAUGCCUUGGAGACAAAUGGCAUUGAUACUUUAAGGAAGGUGUCGAGGCGAGAAUACUUGAAAAAAAGAGAGCAUAAGAAAUUGGAAGAACUCAGAGAUGAUAUAGAAGACGAACAAUAUUUGUUUGAGGGUGUUAAGCUCACUGAAGCAGAGUAUCGUGAACUCAGAUACAAGAAGGAGAUAUACGAGCUUGUAAAGAAGAGGUCAGAAGAGGAUGAUAAUAUGGGUGGGUACAGGAUGCCUGAAGCCUAUGAUCAGGAUGGGGUUGUUAAUCAAGAAAAGAGGUUUGCUGUGGCCAUGGAACGUUACAGGGAUCCGAGUGCUGCGGAUAAAAUGAACCCUUUUGCAGAGCAAGAGGCUUGGGAAGAGCAUCAAAUUGGAAAGGCCACACUGAAGUUUGGUUCAAAAAAUAGGAAGGAAAUAUCAGAUGACUAUGAGUAUGUGUUCGACAACCAGAUAGAUUUUAUCAAGGCAUCAGUGAUGGAUGGAGAUAAUUACAACAAUGAGGUACUAAAAGAAUCGGUUGAGGACUUAAGGACAAAAUCAGCUUUGGAGAAGCUUCAGGAGGAGAGAAAAACAUUACCAAUAUAUCAUUAUCGGGAUGAGCUGCUCCAAGCAGUUAAUGAUCACCAGGUUCUUGUCAUUGUUGGGGAAACAGGUUCUGGGAAAACCACACAGAUACCACAGUAUCUCCAUGAAGCUGGUUAUACAAAGCGUGGAAAGGUUGGUUGUACACAGCCACGGCGAGUUGCUGCUAUGAGUGUUGCUGCCCGAGUGUCUCAAGAAAUGGGUGUCAAACUUGGCCAUGAGGUUGGUUAUUCUAUUCGAUUUGAAGAUUGCACGUCAGAGAAGACCAUUUUGAAAUAUAUGACAGAUGGUAUGUUGUUGCGUGAGUUUCUCGGCGAGCCGGAUUUGGCAAGUUACAGUGUGGUGAUGGUGGACGAGGCACAUGAAAGAACUUUGUCGACUGACAUUCUAUUUGGAUUAGUGAAGGAUAUAGCUCGAUUUCGGCCUGAUCUAAAGUUGCUUAUCUCAAGUGCUACACUUGAUGCGGAAAAGUUCAGUGAUUAUUUUGAUUCUGCUCCGAUUUUUAAAAUUCCAGGGAGGAGAUUUCCGGUUGAGAUACAUUAUACGAAGGCACCGGAAGCUGAUUACUUAGAUGCGGCUAUUGUUUCUGUGCUCCAAAUUCACGUAACGCAGGAAGCUGGAGAUAUUUUGGUCUUCUUCACUGGUCAGGAGGAAAUCGAGACAGCGGAAGAAAUUUUGAAGCACAGGACAAGAGGGCUGGGGACUAAAAUCGCUGAACUUAUUAUCUGCCCUAUCUAUGCCAACUUACCAACUGAACUUCAAGCCAAAAUAUUUGAACCUACUCCUGAAGGGGCACGCAAGGUUGUUCUUGCAACAAAUAUUGCAGAAACCUCGUUAACAAUUGAUGGGAUCAAGUAUGUCAUUGAUCCAGGUUUCUGCAAGAUGAAAUCUUAUAACCCAAGGACUGGGAUGGAAUCUUUGCUAGUCACUCCUAUCUCUAAGGCUUCAGCCAAUCAACGUGCCGGUCGGUCUGGACGAACAGGUCCUGGAAAGUGUUUCCGUUUAUUUACUGCUUACAAUUACCAUCAUGAUCUGGAUGAGAAUACGGUACCAGAAAUACAACGAACCAAUCUUGCCAAUGUUGUCCUAACUCUGAAGAGUCUUGGUAUUCAUGACUUGCUAAACUUUGACUUUAUGGACCCACCACCAGCUGAAGCAUUACUGAAAGCAUUGGAAAUGCUUUUUGCAUUAAGUGCCUUAAAUAAGCUUGGCGAAUUGACAAAAGUGGGUAGGCGAAUGGCAGAAUUCCCUCUUGAUCCCAUGUUGUCUAAAAUGAUAGUCACUUCUGACAAGUAUAACUGCUCAGAUGAAGUAAUUUCCAUUGCUGCUAUGCUUUCUAUCGGGAAUUCAAUCUUUUAUCGUCCAAAGGAUAAACAAGUUCAUGCUGACAAUGCACGCUUGAACUUUCACACAGGGAAUGUUGGUGACCAUAUUGCUUUGCUCAAGGUCUACAGUUCUUGGAAGGAAACUAAUUACUCAACGCAAUGGUGUUAUGAAAAUUAUAUUCAGGUUAGGAGUAUGAAGCGUGCCAGAGAUAUCAGAGACCAAUUAGAGGGACUAUUGGAGAGGGUUGAAAUUGAAUUAUCAUCCAACACAAAUGAUUUAGAGGCUAUAAAAAAGUCAAUAACAUCUGGAUUUUUCCCUCAUUCUGCGAAGCUUCAAAAGAAUGGAUCUUAUCGAACAGUGAAGCAUCCGCAGACAGUUCACAUACAUCCAAGUUCGGGUUUGGCGCAGGUAUUGCCAAGAUGGGUUAUAUACCAUGAGUUGGUUCUUACAACCAAGGAAUACAUGAGGCAGGUGACUGAAUUGAAACCUGAGUGGCUGGUGGAAAUAGCACCUCAUUAUUACCAGAUGAAGGAUGUUGAAGACACGGGAUCAAGGAGAAUGCCACGAGGAGAGGGACGUGCUGCAUCAUAAGGAUCAUUUGCAUCUCGUUGGGAUGUAGGACUGUUGAUACUUUAGUGGAGAUAAAGAAAAUUGUAUAUACCUUGGAAGCUUGUGUUGGUUCUCAGGAAUAGUGAUUUUGGGACGGUUCAUGUAGUUCGUAAAUACAAUUUUGUUGGUUUAGUGUGUCCGUAUUUAGUUGACAAGGCUUGUGUGCUCUUUGGAUUCUUAGGAUGGAUGAGGCAUCAUCAUAACAAUCUUGCCAAUUUCCCUUUCUAACGUUUAUACCGGUUUCACAAGAAUGGAAACAAGAAGUAUGGAAUGUGCCUUCACCCUCGAAGAAUAAAUUCCGAUGGGCGAUUUUGGUGGGCAUGGUAAGUGAAAAGUCAAACCAUGCCGGUACAGGUGGUUCCUUUCCGCUGACCUGGGCUGUAUAUGGUAUGAACUUGUUUUGGUGGAGUCUAUAGUGCAUGGUAGUCAUUAGUGCUGUAUGUUAUAAUUAGUUAGUUGAGUUGGCAGCGCUGUUAGCUAAACGACUGUUGGUUUAGCCUAUUAAGUCGGUGUAUUAGCAUUACAAAGUCUGUUGUAUUACAGGAGUUGGUUAGUCUUGAUAAUGAAAUACGAAAUGGAGGUUUCCUUCA
Tripterygium wilfordii is the source of this 3938-nucleotide RNA transcript. It is a transcript of the gene named pre-mRNA-splicing factor ATP-dependent RNA helicase DEAH1, with no coding region annotated. Lineage: Eukaryota; Viridiplantae; Streptophyta; Magnoliopsida; Celastrales; Celastraceae. The record is from RefSeq and is a predicted model, not a curated record. The transcript has 29 exons.